Molecule: long non-coding RNA, 32679 nt
Filed under: Arabidopsis lyrata
Lineage: Eukaryota; Viridiplantae; Streptophyta; Magnoliopsida; Brassicales; Brassicaceae
Description: long non-coding RNA (ALYR_LNC003298)
Source: RNAcentral
AACACAGAGAAAAAUCUUUCACAGUUUAUAAUUUUAUUAUCUUUCUUUUCGUUUGAAAUCUUUGUGAAUAAUGGCUAAUGUUGGAAACACUAACCUGCAUGAUCGUUUUAAUACACUAGUUGGUGACCUGCAGUUUGCACGAAAUCAGUUUCAGUUCAAAUGCGCGGAGUUAGUGAGAAAUUAUGAAGAGUCUCAACCGAAGAAGGUGCUGGAGGAAAAGAAAAUGGAUUUGGAAAAGUACUACGAGAAGCUAAAAGAAGUUAUGAAGAAAAUCGUUGCUUUCGCCGCAAAAAUAGGUUAAUUUUACUUUUCUAAUAAAGAUCUGUUGGUCUGUGUCUAAACUCUGAUGACGAGUGAUAUAUAGACAAGUUAAUUAUUUUACUUUUCUUGAACUAUUUAAGUCCUGUGAGACUUUCUUGUAAAUAAAUAAUUGCUGUCUCUAAACUCUGAUGAGUUAUAUAUAAAAUACAUAUGCAUUUGUUUUUAUCUGUCCCUUUUCUCUUUUUCUUCUUUAUGAGUCGAAGAGACUCACAUUCUCUAAAGAGUGUCGUUCCAUGGGAUCCAAACAGAGAAAGAUUUGAAAAUCAGUCUCAUUUCUUGAUCAUUGUCGAGUUCUUGGUAAAAUCCCAUUAGAGAUUUUUCUCAACGAGAAGUGAUAUUUAGGAAAGCCUAAAAAGGACGAGAAUCCAUUAUGAUGAUGAUCCCAUUGCCUUGUGUCCCAAGAGACGCCGAAGAAGAAUAAGAGAAGCUAAUAUUAAUUUAUUAAGUUCUUUAUUAAGAUCAAAAGGAAAAUAUUCCUCAAGUUAUAUAUAAUCAUCUAAUCCGGAUAGAUUAAGUGUAGAGUUGUAAUUCUUCUAUUUAUGUUAUUUCCUGAAAAAUGUAUUACAAGUUGAAAAAGAUUAAGAUAGUUCAACCGAGUUUGAAAUGGUCUUGACCUAUGACUAAUUUUCUUUCAUCUCCAUUUAUUUCUUCUAUAAAUUAUAAAACUAUUUAUUAAAAGAUAACUUGCGGAGAAAUAUUUACUCUUGGCAACACGUUUUCUUUCUUCAUGAUUACUAAAUUAGGUUCCAAAAAGAAAAAAAGAAAUACCUCCAAAAAGAAAAAAUAAAAAAAGGUAAGAUAGACUGUUUUUGCUGGUUACAUGUUUAUUCUCACUAAAAAAUGAAAACUCUUGAUAAAGAACCCAUGAACUUAGCGAAUCAUAUCUACAUUUGGAUCUAAUUAUGUGCCUCAAUUAAUAUGAUGUCUGUAUAGUACAUUUUUUUUUAUCUUAGUGGGUUGCACACAUUUUCUGUAUGUAUAUCCUAUGAGACAUUAGGACACAAUUUAACAUUAGUUACACAAAACAUAUUUGUUGCCAACCAAACUAAAGUGAUUUAGGUAGAAUUAAAACAUUGGUGUCAAAAAACAUUUGUUAUUUCAAAAAGAAUGGCUGAUAUAUAUUUGUCACAACCAUUUUACAUACCAAAGAGGGUAAAAAUGCAAAACGCCAUUGAAAUAUUCUUUUACAAGUUUAGUAUUGUAGCUAUUUAUUUUUUAUUUAAAUAAGUUACACUUAUAUAUCAAAGAUAAAGUAGUUGCUUGGUAUUUGAAUCUGUUUCUCUGUCUACGUUACAUAUUAGUGGAUUUAGUUGUCAUUUUCUUGUCGCUUAUGAACUUCAUCGUCAUUAUUGCAUCUUGUGUUCUUUUUUUUUUUGUUUUGGUUAACAAAUUAAAAGUAUUUAUCUUGUUAAACACACGGGUAAAAAGAAAAGCCACUAAUAAAAUAAAUAUAAAAUGACUAAAAUAAAUAUAAUUUAUAACUAUAUAAAGUAUAAAAAAACAAAUAUUUAAGUUAUUAUGAUAAAAUAUAUAAAAAAAAUUAAUAAUAAAAACCAUAUAAAUUUUUUUACAUAAUAAUUCAAAAAACAAAUUCAUUGUUAAAUGCUUAUUAAUUCAUGCAUUUGGUUCAUAAAAUAAAACGGCAUCAUGUCAUAUGACAAAUUACAAAAAAAAAUAUGACAAACUAAAUAAAAAAAAUGUUUUGAAUUCUUAGAUCUUCUUGAUUAAUAAUAUUAUUACAAUACUUACGUUUGUAUCUUGUCAUUCUUUAAUUUGGAUUGACGCCAUGAUUUUGAAUUGAAAAAAAAAAUAAAGGUUUUGAGAAUUAACGUUAAAUAUAUAGGGGUUUGAUAAUAUUUUUUUAAUUUAUUCGCUACUGGAAACUUUUUAAAUUCAGCGAUUUCGAACAGUCUAGAACGGUUUAAAGCGUUUUGUAUGAUUGGUUUUAAACGUUAGCAACCACAACACAUCGUUUGUGGGUGGUAGAGAAAGAACCAAUCAAUCCCUAAAAUUUGAUGAGUUUUGGUUCUUAUUAAUAAAUAAAAAUGUUGGAUUUACCCAAUAGAAUCUUGCUCUUGUUUAAAUAUUAUAUCUGUGCAUUUUGUGAUUCUGGUUUUUUCUACAAUUUUAUUACAAAUUGAAAAAGAUUAAGAUAGUUCAACCGAGUUUGAAAUGGUCUUGACCUAUGCCUCGCUAUUUUUUUUUCAUCGCCAUUUAUGUCUUCUCUAAAUUUUAACAUUAUUUAUUAAAAGAAAACUAUCGGAGAAAUAAACACUCUUGGGAACACGUUUUCUUUCGUUAUGAUUACUAAAUUAGGUCCAUUUAGGGGACUAAUGAAAUCCAAAUUACCUUCACCACUUAAAUCUAAAGACACCAACCUACUUAUAGAAAAUAAUGUAACAGACUCGUCAUCUAGUAAGCAGUGACUAAUACACACCUCUAAAGUUGAGAUUUUAUUAUAUUGAUUUUUGAGAGAGAAAUUUUAAGUUUAUUCGCAUUUUGCUAUUACUGAUCGAGACUUAAGAACGAGACGAACUUUUGACGAAUUAUAUCUGUAAUGAUUUAAAUUCAAUGUGAUUAUUUUCAACUGUUUCUCUGCUUAGGUUACAUAUUAGUGAAUUUAGUUGUUGCAUUGUGUUUUUUUUUGUAACAAAACUAUCUAGCUUGUUAAACCCGUGAGGUAAAAUAUGAUUUUGAUAUAUGAAUUAUAAUUAGUACAUGUUUUUGAUUAUAGAAGUAACUAGCACACAUUUUUCUGUACGUAGAAUAGACAUUAGUACACAUUUUAUGUAGUGACGAAACAGGGGCUGAAUAAUAUGAGUACUAUACUCGAGAACAUUUAUGUAAGAAUAAAAUUCAUUAAUAAAAAAGAGUGGCUGAUUUCGUAAUCACAUCCAUUUAUUCUAUACCAAAUAGAGUAAGAUUAGUUCAAAACCGCUAUUUAAAUUGGUGUCUAAUCGAUGGGCUGAAUUGAAAUUAGGGUAAAAAUUACUUAAAAUCUAUAUUCAUUUUUUUUCUCACCGUUUAUUUUCAUUAGAAAUUUGAUUAAAAAUGAACUUUAAAAAAACGAACCUUCAUGACUCUUUCCCAAAAGCACCUCUAAAUAGAAAGAACGUAACCUCUAAACUCUAAAGUGAGAUUAUUGCCUUAAUUAACCAUAGACUUAAGAGAGAAGUUGUAAGCUUGGGUUAGUGGCGUAGAUGGAGAGUUAAGUACGCAACUCAACAUUUUCACCUUUUUCAGCUAUAAAUAGAGAUGUUUAGAAGAGGUUUUACAUUCCCACACAUAGAAAAAAUCUUUCACAGUUUUAUAAUUUUAUUAUCUUUCUUUUCGUUUGAAAUCUUUGUGAAAAAUGGCUAAUGUUGGAAACACUAGUGGGUCUACUCGUUUUGAAGAGGUAUGUCGUGAAAUGACGCAGCUAAAUGAUGAAAUUCAGAAGCUCAACGUGGAUGAUUUUGGUGCCAAUGAAGAAGCAAGGAAGAAGAUAACUGAUAUGACAACGAAGUUGAAAGAGCUCUAUGAAGAAACUGUGAUGAAAACGAAGUUGAAAGAGCUCUAUGAAGAAACUGUGAUGAAAGAAACUGUGAAGGAGAUGAAGGAAACCCAACAGUGAUAUGUUACUUUUACUUUUCCAGUGAAGCUCCCUCUUAUAGAUAAAUAAAUAAUUGAGAUGUUGUCUUAACUCUGAUGAGGAGUGUUAGAUAAGUUAAUUAUUUUACUUUUCUUGAACUAUUUAAGUCCUGUGAGACUUUCUUGUAAGUAAAUAAAUGGAAAACUCAGAUGAGUUAUAUAUAAAUAGACAUGGUUGUUUCAAUGUGUGCCUUUAUUUUCUUCUUCUUCUAUAUGAGUCACAACCUCUAAAGAGGAUAUUUUCAUGGGAUCAAAAUAGAUAAAGAUUUUUUUUCUUUUUUUUUCAAUUUUGUGUUCUUGGGAAUUUCUCAUAAGAGAAUGUCUCAGUCAGAAAUCAGCUAUAUAUAGGAAACCCUAAAAAAAAACUAUUUACUCAAGUUUAUUCAUUAUCAUCAAAAAUCUGUAAAAGUUAAGUCUAGAGUCUUAAAUCUUGUAGCUAUAUGUUAAUCAUACAAUAUAUAAUACAGAUUAAAAGAUUAUAAUAGGUUAACCGACAAAGAAAUGGUCAUGAGUCAUGACCGAUGCAUUGAAUUGGGGAUAAAGAAAAACUAAGACUGUUUUUCUUUCAUUUCCUUAUAUGUCCAUUGAAAAUUUCAAAUUCUUUACUAAAAUAAAUGAACUUGUGGAGAAAAUUAAAAAAUUCUUUUUGAUUCGAGAAAGAAAUACUCUUGAUAACAUGUUUUCCUUCGUCAUAAUGAGUUUCUGUUUUGUUUAUUAUCCCAAAUUACGUCACCUAAUGAACUCAUUUUAUCAAUAAUCAUUGAUAUAAAUAUUUUUCAGAUAGAAAAUGUAACAAAAAAAUUUGUGUGUUUAAAUGUUAAUGCUCAAAAGCAAAAAUAAAAUCUUGAUAAAUGACCACCUUAGAGAAUCAUAUCUACAUAAAUACUAGAGGACAAAAAGUAAUAUUUUAUGUUUUUUUAUUAUUAAUAUCAGUACAAACACUCUAUAGGUAAUGUUGGGUACGUAUGAAUAGCAUUGUUGCAGGGUCUUAAAGUUUAGUGAUUAGUAGCAAAAUAAAAAUCUUGACAAUAGAUGCAAACCUUUAGGUAUUAUAUCAAUAAUAAUCUAUAUAUAUAAUUAGAGAGUCUUCGAGGGUGAAUAGCCAUAUAACUCUCUCAGGCAUGUUUUUCGAGAAGGCUAAAAGUAGUCAACUCCUUUUGAAAAACCAGAUCUUACCAACUUUUUAUUACCAAAAAUAGAAAUUUCUGGUCUCCUUUGCCUCUUGAACCGGCAUUCUAACCGUCUCCGGCGGUGGCCACCGGUGAGUCCGGCGUAGGAGACGCCCCUCAUCUUGGUUUGGCCUCCUUUCUACCAUCCCUCAAGGCUCUUGCAUCACCUGUUCCAAAGAAAGACACCCAGCCUCAAAGUUCCUAAAAGCCAUUGAUUCUUGUACUCUUUAGUACAGAUCUACCUAAAAGAAACAACUUUUCCAAUGGUAUUCUCUCCAUAUGCCUCUGCUGAUGUGGUACCUGAUUAUAUCUUCUUGAACUAUCUCACUUUAUGUGAAGAACUGUCUUGGAACUUUUUGCUACUCUCUCACAAUAGUUAUCUCCACCUCUGAAUCCAACCCUGUAUUCCUCUCCUCUUGAGUGUGAAAGCUACUUCUGGUUAACCUCUCCUGCACCUGAUCUAAAUCAAAGAAGACAUGGAGGGACGAAUCCCUUACCACCUAAAAGGAAAGGGGACUGCAAAAGAUUUCUCUCCACCUCCCAGAAAGCGAAUCCGUGCUCCAGAGUUUGACACCUCAGAUCUCAUCCUGGAAAAUGCACUAACUCUUAUGGGUAGACUCACAAACCCUAGUGUCCAAAGACUCUGGUCACUUAUUCCUUUCCUGUCAAACCGCUGGAAUCUUAGAGGCAAAGCCAUAGGUUCUGACCUGGGAAGAGGCUGUUUUCAGUUCCGCUUUGAUUUCGAAGAAGAUCUCCAGAAGGUUCUAGACAACAGACCAUAUCACUUUGACCAGUGGAUGGUGAUCCUUGAGAGAUGGGAACCGGUAAUCUCUCCCUUGUUCCCAUCAAAGAUACCUUUCUGGAUAGAACUACAAGGCCUCCCUCUCCACUUUUGGAAGCCAUCUAUGCUCCGGAACAUAGCUGAAGAGGCUGGCACUUACUUGGACCAGGACCUUACUCCAACCUCUGCAAAAGUUAAAGUAAUGAUUGAUGGCCUUAGCCCUCUGACAAAAGAGACAAUAGUUGAGUUUUCUGAUGGUAGUGAAGUUUUGGUGACCCUAGAUUAUAAAAACUUGAGGAACCACUGUCACCAUUGUCUCAGAUUAUCGCAUGAAAAAAAGGACUGCCCGAGACUUCUAACUCCAAGAGCUUCCAAAGCAAAAAUAAAUCCUCCUUCUUCUCAAUCACCAAGAGUCUCCUCCUUCAGAUCAAGCCACCUACAGAAAAGUACAAAUAAUCAAUCAAGAGACUUCCACUCUAGACAGACAAGCUACAAUACUUACUUGGAGGGACAAUCUAACAAAAGAUAUCGGGAUAAAGGGAAAACUAGGAGCAAACCUCUGAAUACUCAAAGAUCCCAAGAAAGAAACAUCUCUAGUGGCAGAACAUCUCCCACCAGGUCCCAUACCCCAUAUAGAGGGUACCACAACUCUGAUCUGCGCCACCACUUACAUUCAAAAGCGAACGGUAAAGGUCAAAGUGCGCAAAACUACCAAUGGAGAGAAAAAGCCCACACACAAGGCACUGGGUUGCUUGAAUCUUCUGUGUCCUCCAGAACGAGAAGGCCACCUCUAGAGAGAGACUUAUCACCUGGUAGACAAUCUUCUCCAGGCUUUACUGCUCAGAAUCCUCCUGAGGUUUCCAGGCCCUUGACUAGUGGAGUGGUGACUCCUAUUCCUCCUCCUCCCCCUGUACAUGUAUUGGAAGAUGUAAUGGGUGAAUUGAGAGAGGUGACUGUGCAGUAUACUAGUUGUGCGGAUCCAACUGAAAGUGCUGCUAGAUGACAGCGAGUCUUACAGGGAGAAGCUAGGGGCUUGAUGGCUGAAACUGCAGCCACCAUUAUUGCUGCAGCAACUCUUUGCCCUAUCCAAGCGACUCAGCUUCCAUCCCCCUCUCUAGCCUCUGGUUCUGGAACCACCUUAGAGGCAAUUACAGAGCCCUUCAAUGCCUCUUCCAAUCCGGAGGUCCCUGCAAAAAAGAGACGUGGCAGACCACCAAUCAGCAGGCCUAUCAACAAGAGUCCCCUGAAGAUAUCUGGUGUCAAAUCUCAGAAAAGAAACUUAUGCAAUACCCAGAGUGCAGCUAACAGAAGGCAUGGUAAUGGAAAAAAUAUCCCUCCUAGUGAGGAGAAUCCUAGUUCCUCAAACAGAGCAGGUAGCUCUAAAAGAAAAAUCCCUCUUAAUGAGGAGAACAUUACUACUACAAAAACAACUGGACCCAAGAUAAAGCUCAUACCUGCUUCAAAAAAGGGCUUGGUGGAUUUUCAGAAUCCAUCAACUCCUCUUCCUUAAGAAUAGUGAGCUGGAACUGUUGUGGGCUGAGGAAUCCCAUAACAGCUCGUCGUUUAAGGGAUAUUCAUCAAAAAAAUUUCCCUGAUUUUCUCUUCCUCAUGGAGACAAAGAAUGACUCAACUUAUGUUCUCCAAAAACUACAAUGGAUGGGCUACCACUCAAACUUCUUAGUCCCACCUCUUUCUCCAGGAGCAGGAGAGUUAGCUCUUUAUUGGAAAAAAGAUCUCGAAGUAGAAAUACUUAGCUCCUGUCCAAAUUUUAUUGAUACAAAAAUCAAAUCCAAGGGUAGAGUUUUCUUCACUACCUUCUUAUAUGGCGAGCCUGAUAGAACUAAGAGAUUACAAGUCUGGAACCAGAUAAGAGACUUGGCGGCCCAAAGAAAUGAACCAUGGCUCUUGACUGGCGAUUUUAACGAUAUUAUCAACAAUUCAGAAAAAAGAGGAGGCCCUACCAGACCAGAAGGCUCUUUUGUGGAUCUAAGAUCACUAAUGGCUGAAUGUGAUUUGUAUGAUCUAAACUACUCAGGUAAUUUUUUGUCUUGGAGAGGCCAAAGAUACACCCACCUGGUUAGAUGCCGGCUUGAUAGAGCAAUGGCCAACAGUUGCUGGGCAGAAGCAUACCCCUCUGGCACAAGUGAGUAUUUACGCUUUGAGGGAUCUGACCACAGACCAAUUGUCACCUCCUUUGACCCUGUAAAGAAAAAGCAAAAAGGCCUUUUUAGGUAUGAUCGCAGGCUAAGGGAUAAUACAGAGGUUACAAAGCUGAUAAUGGAAGCAUGGAACUCAUCAAAUUCUGACUCAGUGGAGGAUAGGAUUAGUAGAUGCAGAGUGGUAAUUAUCAAAUGGAACAGAGAUAAGCAUCUUAAUAGCCAGUAACAGAUAGAUGAACUUCGACAGAAGCUUGAAGAGGCUAUGUCCAGUGAUAUAUUGCUAUCAGAGCUAAUAGCAAAAAUCAAUAAUGAUCUAAUCUUAGCCUACCAAGCCGAAGAAGAGUUCUGGAAACUGGAUAUUUUCAUGCAGCUUCAAGAGGAAGAAAAGCAAUUAAUAAUAUCUCAGUCCUAGAGAAUGAAGAGAGACUAUCGGUCUAUGAGGAGGACGAGAUAGUUAAAGUAAUAUCUGAGUAUUACCAAUCUAUUUUUAUCUCUCAAGAAGGAUCAAGAGCUGACAUUGUCUCUGAAGCCUUGACUCCGUGUAUAUCACCAGAAGUUAAUGCCUCCCUCAUCCUUAUCCCUUCUCCCCCAGAAAUAAAGAAAGCUUGCUUCUCCAUCCACGCUGAUAAAGCCCCGGGCCUGAUGGCUUCUCUGCAAGUUUUUUUCAAACUAAUUGGGACACAGUUGGAGAGAAGAUAAUUUCAGAAGUUCAGUCUUUCUUCUAUUCAGGAAUCUUACCUCAAAACAUUAAUCAUACUCAUGUCCGCCUAAUUCCCAAGAUAACAAGUCCUAAGAAGGUAGCUGACUACAGACCUAUCGCUCUAUGCUUGGUAUAUUAUAAGAUCAUCGCCAAGAUCCUCUCCAAGAGGCUCCAGCCAGUCCUACAAAACAUUAUAUCAGAGAAUCAGUCAGCCUUUGUGCCUCAACGAGCCAUCUCUGAUAAUGUACUUAUUACCCAUGAGGUACUUCAUUACUUAAAAAAGUCAAAAGCAAAGAAGGUAUGCUACAUGGCAGUUAAGACGGACAUGAGCAAAGCGUAUGACAGACUAGAGUGGGACUUCAUCAAACUCGUCCUAGAGAAACUCGGCUUUCACCAACAGUGGAUUCAAUGGAUUAUGUAGUGUAUAGUCACUGUUUCCUACUCUUUCCUUUUAAAUGGAACUGCCAAGGGAUUGGUCAUACCUGAACGUGGAAUACGCCAGGUGAUCCACUAUCUCCAUACAUCUUCAUACUGUGCAGCGAAGUGUUAUCCGGACUAUGCAACAGAGCUCAAUCAAAUGGAAAACCGUUGGGUAUCCGAGUUGCUAUAACUAGUCCGAGAGUUAAUCAUCUACUUUUCGCUGAUGAUACGAUGUUUUUCUGCAAGUCAGACCAAAAGAACUGUAAGGAACUAGCAACAAUCCUCCAGACGUAUGAAACUGCCUCCGGUCCAAAAAUCAAUCAACAGAAAUCAGCCAUAACAUUCUCAGGCAAAACGAAGACUGAUACAAAGGAGAGGGCCAAGAGAAUUCUCAGAAUCUCAAAUGAAGGAGGACAGGGCAAAUAUUUGGGCUUACCAGAACUUUUUGGUCGCAAGAAGAAAGAUAUGUUCACUAUGAUCAUAGAUAGAAUCAAGCAAAAAGCGCUCAGCUGGUCUUCAAGAUUCCUUUCUUCUGCUGGUAAAAUGAUCAUGCUAAAAUCUGUACUCUCAGCUAUGCCCACGUACACAAUGACUUGCUUUAAAAUACCGGCUUCCCUUUGCAAGCGUAUUCAAUCAGCUCUCACCUGCUUCUGGUGGGACGCUAACACUGAAAAGACGAAGAUGUCUUGGAUCUCUUGGAAGAAGAUGACAAGAUCACUGAGAAAUGGUGGACUGGGAUUUCGUGACAUCCAACACUUCAAUGAUGCCCUGCUGGCAAAAGUCAGCUGGCGAAUUAUCACUAAACCAUCUUAUGGACGUCGGAUUCACACACUCGAAUAUUUGCUUAUUUAGUGGGAAAGAUUAUUCUUGAGGACAAAAAUAUGAUAUGAAAAAGCUAUGAAUUGCAAUGAAAAUGAUUAUAGUCUAUUUGCUAGAAAAAUUGCCUCUCCUUUACAUGGCUCCUGCCCCUAUUAUUUAUACUAACAAACGACAUUUAACUCUCAAUUAAAUACAAUUAUUCUCUCUUAAAUGUGUCCAUUUUGGUCUUCGAAUUUAAUGCUCAACGUUUGAAUUUGAUUUGAUUCUUAUCUUCAUGGGCUUCGCCAUUUAGCCCAAAAGUCCCAAACUGAAAUGAUCUUCAACUUCGACUGAGUAUCCUUCUCGUGGUGAGACCACUCCGAUCCCUCUUCGUGGUAUAACCACCUCGACUAAACUUUUGGGCUUAUACGUCUAUCGGGCCUUGUCCUCUAUGGGCUUCUGUCCUACCUAUGUGACAAUCUUUGGUUGGUCCCGAACCACCCAUGCGGGAUCCGACACCAAUAAUUAGCCCCCCAAGUCUUUCGAAGUGCUACCUCAAUUCGGAAGAUUUUAAUGCUGAAACGACCAAAGAUUGCGCUUAAGGAUCUUCUGAUUUCCCGCCGAAAAUCUCAUCACUCCUUUAAUUCCAGCACUAGCCAUUUUUAACCGAGUGACAUCUGUCACCAUUAUGACCGUAUAUUAAUUUAUUACUAUUAAGACGGGAAAAACCUUCCCACUUCCCACACAACUUCCGAGGCGGUUCCAUCAUUUAGCUUGUGAAAGGUAACUUCUUCUCGUCAUCAUUUUUUACUUUUACUUUUGCGCUUUAAUCAAAACUUCUCUCUUUCGCCAAACCCUCUUCGCCGGACCUUUGAAUUUUUUGUUUUCUCCGAUGACUUCCGAUUCUGAAAGAUCUGAGUCUCCGUCUUAUGACGAGAGACGUUCUAGCAAUGACGAAUGCACUCGUCCUAACGACAUUGCUGGUCCACACUACAGAUCCACCUGUACUCUUCAAUCCCUAGAGCGAUUAAAGGGGCUUUGCCAGAUUCCCCCUGGAAUCAUAGCAGAAGCACAUAUAGCCGACCCUACGGAGUCCCCGAAAAACCACCGCGAUGGCUACUUUUGUGUUUACGAAAUCUAUUUCAAGGGCUGUGGACUGACCUUCCCCCUUCCUGAAGCCCUAGUUCGAUACCUGGCGGCUCUCAAAAUCGCUUUACCUCAGCUAACCCCCAAUCUCCUCUGAAUCAUCCUUGGGAUCAUAACCGUUGCGGCGGAAGCUGGCUACAUUAUUGGGGUCCCCGAGCCGAACGAACUUCUAAGUGUGAGAAGUUCGUCAAAGAAAACGGGGUACUUCUCGGCAUAUCCAAAUGCCAACAGGAACGUCAUCUCGCACCUCCCGAACAAGGAUGAAAACUGGCACCAUCGUUGGUUCCUGAUUAAGAAAACUCCUACUUCGAUUGGAAAUCUUUCCGAUGUACUCCCAUCGAAGUGGUCUGCAAAGCCUACUAGAAACUAGGUCGUAUAUUCCUUUCCUGGUUGUUUUAUCUUUACUGACAAAACUCGUUGUUUCACUUCGCAGCUUUCAUCGCUUCGACUCUUCCGACUGAAGAAUUCGUCAAAUUCUUCAAAACAAUCCUUGAAGGGGAAACCCUUUGGAAUUCUUUCACUCUCGAUCGGUUUGUUGAAGCCAAUCGAAAACUCAGGAUGAGUCCUCCCAAUCACCUUCAUCGUCUUCCGCCUCCUCCUUCAACUCAGGGAAUGUCAGCUCGGGCCCUCAUUGCCCAGCGUAAGAAACUCUCCAAGCCGAUAACAGAGGCUUGUGAUAAGAACAAGGCGCUCCUUGCGGCCGCUAUUGAUAAGAAAGACUACAGCUGGACCUUGCUGGUCGACGACAACAACACCGAGGGGGCCAGAUCUGUCGCUGCUUUCAGAUUAACACCCCAUCGUGAACGUCGUGACGAUCGUUCUCCUCGGAGGGACCGAUCUCCUCGUCGUGAUUCUCCUCGUCCUCUCUGGGAUGAUUUUAGCAACGAACCGCUUAAGAACUUGGUUCGCAGGAAGAGAGACAAGUCAUCUCGUAGUGAUUCUUCUCCGCAUAGGGAGAAGUCGAGGGCCCGGACUGACCGUUCACCUUGAUCGUCCCCUCCUACUAAACCAAUGGGUCCUCCUGCUCCUGUUGACAUGUCCUUCUUUUCCAAACAUGAUGGUGAGAAGACUGCUCGGAGCGUGUCUCCCCAGAAGGAAAGUUCUAGGUCUCAAGAUACUUCCCCGAAGUCAAAACCUGCUCUUGUCCCCCAGGUCAAAUCGCUUACAGGUGGUGAUUCAUGCAUUCUUUAAAGGUUUUCACCCCAUCCUGAUUCAAAAUAUUACAAUUCCCCUUCUUCUUCCUUCACAGCUAUGGAGAAAGAAGGUAGCGUCUUCCGAUGCUUUAAGACCCGGUCGGGUCUAAUCCUGCCAGAAUUCGACAAGUGGCGUCCGGCAAUUUGCGAACGCUAUUUGCUUCAUGCGCACCACUCAUCUCGGGUUAGUUCCACCAAGUUUUUUUUUUUUUUUUUUUUUUUUUUUAGUUUCGCUAUUACCCUUCAUACUGACUCUCCAUCCCGAAUUUAUAUGAAAUGCCAGGCAAACAGUGAACUCAACGAUAUGGUUGAGCACUACGAGGGACUGCUGCUUAGCCAACUACAGGAGAUUGGUUCGUUGAAAGGCAAGCUUACUACUGUUGAAGCUGACCUCCACUUAUCUUCCGGCUCCAAGCAACAACUGGAGGACCAAGUCGACAGUCUCACAUCUGAGCUCGGGACGAUAAAGCGCGAACUGCGGGACCAGCAAGAUUGGAAUUACCAACUCCAGGGGGAACUUUCUGGUGUUCAGGACAGACUGACCGAGUCCGAAUCAGCUGCUUAUAAUCUGUCCAACCAAUUCGAUGAGCUUGACGCUAAGUAUAAGGCGAUCACCAAAUUACGGGACUCCGAGUUGGCGAGGUCAGCGUCGAAGGCUAGGAAAGAGGUCAAGGGACAUGGGAUGGACUUGAUCCAGGGGGCCAUCCGCUUCAUGCAAACCGAGAAAGCACGAUCGAUUUUGGAAUCGGACGUCAAAGAGUACGAGAGCAACUUACUCCUGUUGGAACAAAUCCACGAAGAGGGCUUCUCCGAAGAGCAGGAAAAGGCCGAGCUAACGAAUAAUUUGGCUGAAAAACGAAGUCGGCUCGCAGCCAUCCCUGCUUCCUCUUUCAAUCCUCAGCAGUUUGAGGAGUUCUUCACCGAGUCACCCCCCUUGGGCAAAUCCAGUUUAGACUGGGCUGGUAAGUCCAUGUUCUUUUAACACUAACCCUUUACUUGCUUUUAAUUUUUGGCUGACUGGAACCGUUCCUCCUAGGUUCACAUGAAACGGGGAACGUCGCUUCAUCGGAAGUCCCUGUUGCGUCGGUUGUCACCCCAGAAGAUGAUUGCGCAAUCGGGAACGAGCAGAGAGCCUCUUCUGAGCAAGUCCCAGCUAAAGAGGCAAGUGAGACCCUAACAUCUGAAGUGGAGGCCGAGGUGUCUGCUGAUUCGUAGUGGCUGUGUCCACUCCGAAUUGGGGCUUGUCCCAUAUUUUUUUUUUUGAGACUUAAAUCUUUAUGUUUUUGCUUUUUCCUAAAGAGGCUUUAUCAACUUCUUUCGAACAAGAUAUUUGCCUGAGGAGGCUUUUAAACCUUUUUUUUGAAUUAUAAUCCCUAGGGGGUUUGGUUAAAAUAAAAUGCGGGUUUGCAAGGUCCGCUUUUAACACUCUUUGGCCUAGUGGCUAUGUUUUUUGAGAUUUUUAGGCUAAUCAGGCCCUUUUCUUGGAAUGCGAGAACUGAGCUCGGCUUAACGCGAGGUCCCCACCUCGGGUUUAGUCAACUUUGAUGAAUUCGUUGGGCUUGGGCCUUAAAAACUUUUGUGCUUAAUGGGCUUCUUGCCUUAAAUGCGACGGUUACUCUUUCCCUUUCUUGGGAAAUAGGAAAAGCCGCACGUCUUUAAGGCAAUAACUGCCUUUUCUCUGUUUUCAAAAACAGUUUUAACCACUCGGGCAUGCUACCAUCAUUAAAUUUACGGUUUCAAGAUAAACCCUAGACCUAUUAUAAAUAGAGGCAAGUUUGCCUCUAACUUUUUCCAAAGAACUCCAAAAUUCCUUGGUAAUUUUCACAAUAAUGGAGAACGAAAAUAUGACCCCCAUCGAUCCUGGCAUCCCACUAUUCUUGUUCGGCGACGGCUUCGAGCCGGCCGGCGUUCUCUUUCCUCACGCCGUGUUCCACUUUCCUUCGAGGGAGAAGAAAGAGGCUUACGACUUCAUGGACAAGGUCAGAAUUCGCCUCUCUCGACAAAACUCCUAUGCCUUUUUCUUUUGAUUUACUUAUUCUUGUGACAGGUCGUCGACAAACAUCGCCGUUUAUGCGACGAGAGGAAACGGCUAGGACUCAAGAGGCAAACACUCGAGGCUCGUAUUGCUCGGGUGGAAAGGAAAGUGAGAGCCUUGGAAAGUGAUCCCUUUCAAUGGGAGUGGAGGAACUUUGAUUCUAUCGCAGAGAUCCCGAGAAUGCCCCGGAUGUAUCUCCGCGCUAAAGGUCAGGUUCAGGGACCAGUGAAUGCCCCGACCGAAGUUGCUCCUCUUGUCAGCGAAGAGGAAGACGAGGAAGAUGACGACAAACCUUGCAAACGUGUUCGGAAUGAACUCGGAGUGGAAGGCAGGGACGAUGCUUUCACUUCGAAUUCUAAAUCGGCGAUGAAGGAGCCUGUUCCUGAGCCUCUUCCAUAAAUGUCUCAAACUUCGUUCUCUUUUCUCUUUUUUUUUUUUUUGAACUCGUAAUGGGCCUCGGCCCUUUUUAUUUAUGGAAACACUUGCAACUCUUUUAAUUCUCAUAUCAUUCUUGGAGAUACGUCUUUUAAUGCAGGAUCGGUUUAAGGGCAUAAAUCUCUCCGCGAAUCACUCCAUUUCCGGGUUGAAUCCGCAGCUUGCUAGGGAUACGACGUCCCUAUAAAUUACAGUUUCAAAUUCCCUUCGUUCCUCACUAUUCUUCUUACUUCUGCAAAUAUGGAUUUUAACCUUCGAUGUUCAGAGUCUAUGCCGGACUUCUCCAGGAUCGGAAUGAUAGAUGAAGAUGUUCCAAGUAGACGAUCUUCUCCACUUCGCGGCUUUUUCAGAUCUCAGAUCCAAGCUCCAUGCACUUUGAUCAAAGACCUUCCAGAUAGAGACCGGGAGAUCACGAUGGCCUUUAUCAAAGCGCUCGCAAUUCAACACAGGAAGCUAUCGCUGGAAAAUAAAAAACUUCGGAAGAAGAUUCAUCGAAUGCAACGCAGGGUUACUGCGAUAUCAAGGGAUCUUCACAUCCUUAGUUCUCACCCCGGAGAGUGGAUUAAGCUCGGAAUCUCCGAUUUUGCUCGUAUCCCGGAUUGUAUGAUGCCAGUUCUUGACCUCGCUGGUCAAGGAGUUCAAGUGUUCUGCUCUCCGGGAGGGUUUUCCUAACUCGAAGUGUGCGAAGAUCGACACUUUGUCUUAUUUGUUUGAAUAAAUGUUUUGCUUCCAGUUUUUGUGCAUUCGCCUAGUCGAAUUUUUUCUUUUUAAGAAAUAAAAACAAAUUUUCAUUAAUAGCUGAACUCGUUUUCGAGCUGCCUACGUACCCAUUUCGGGAUCAAGCCACACCGUAGUUCAUGUACAUAAUAAAAUGCGUAUUAUUUAAACAUAAAACUUCUUUAGAUUGAUCACGUUCUAAGGUCGCUGGACUGGACUGCCUUCUAAGUCUUUCAACCUAUAAACACCAUUUCGAACCACUUCGGUAACAAUAUAAGGCCUUCCCAAUUAAUGCCGAGUUUGCCUGCGCCUUCCUCUUUUUUAUUGUCGAAAACUCGCCUUAGCACAUAGUCUCCUACAAAGAAUGGCCUACUUUUGACUUUGGAAUUAUAGUAUCGAGCUGCUGCUUGCUGGUAAUUUUGUAUCCGAAUUAAUGUUUGAUCUCGUCUUUCAUUAAUGGUAUCCAGCGAGUCGUCGAGCAUUGCUGAAUUCUCCUCCUUAUUCAAUGGUGCUUCUGUUUGGCGAAGGCCAGGCACGUUGAGUUCAGCCGGUACUAUUGCUUCCAUGCCAUAAACUAGAGAGAACGGAGUUUCUCCAGUAGGUCGCCUAGGGGUUGUACGAUAAGCCCAUAGGACGGGUUGGAGUUCAUCAUACCACCCUCCCUUUAGGUGAUUCAAACGUUUUUUGAAAUUGCUCAAAAUUGUUUUGUUCGCAGCUUCGGCUUGGCCAUUUCCUUGUGGAUACCGUGGAGUAGAAUAACUGACCUUGAUUCCCCAUUCCGAGCAAAAAGCUUCAAACUCGUGCGAAAUGAAUUGUGGCCCAUUAUCAGUAACUAUCUCGUAUGGAACCCCAUGUCGGCAUAUGAUAUUCUUCCAAAUGAAGUAUUCACCGCCGAAUCUUUGAUGCUAGCAUAUGCUUCAGCUUUAAUCCACUUUGAAAAAUAAUCCGUCAAGACCAACAGGUAUUGUACUCCUCGAGUUGAUCUGUGCAAUGGUCCAAUGAAUAUCCAUCGACCACCUCAUAAAUGGGUACAGGGCAGAGAUGGAGGAGAAUAACUCUGAAGGUUGAUGGAUCAACGGUGCAUGGAGUUGACAACGUUUACACCUUUGGGCGAACUUGACACAAUCCGUGAUCAUAGUGGGCCAAUAAUAGCCCAUCCUUUUUAUUUUUAAAGCCAUGGCCCUUCCAGACGCAUGACUCCCACACAGACCUUCGUGUACUUCUCUCACGACGAUUUCGACUUUGGGCCCAAAAAUGCACAAUAGGUAGGGGUCGCUGACAGCCCGCUUAUACAACGCAUCCUUCGAUAGACAAAUUUUCGCGCUAACGAUUCUCAUUUUCCUGGCUUGCCACUUAUUUUUCGGGAUCUCACCUGUCAUGAUGUAGUGCUUUAUUGGCUCCCUCCAAUCAGCCCCCCAAUCUUUAGCCGGAAUUUGGUCAAUCUCAUGAAAUACUCGUGGUUCCGGUUCGGGAUGUUCAUUUGGUUCAAGGUCUGGUUCGGGAUGGUUGUUUUCGACUAACGGUUCCGUCUCUAUAACAGUUUCUAGAAGUAUAUCUGGCUCCUUGUUGUGCUUUUUCGACUUCCUCCGUUUAACAGGUGGCAGCUCGACCUCGGGCUCGCCACGUUCACGCGCUGCUGCUCGAGACCUUGUAACAACGAGAACUUCUUUGUCAGUUUUAAUGCUUCGUUCUGCGAUACAUUCAACCGGAAUGAUUCUUUUUAGUUCAUGAUCUAAUGUUGACGCUAAUGCGGCAAGUGCAUCCGCGGUUGUGUUUUCUCCUCGAGGUAUGCGAAUUAGUUCGAAUUUCUUGAAGUCUUUGGAAAGACCUUUCACUACUUCGAGGUAUGCUUCCAUUCUCAGGUCUUUCGCUUCAUAAUCGCCAUUGAACUGAUUAACUACUAACUGUGAAUCACAAUAAGCAACCACUUCUUCAGCUCCAACCCCUUGUGCCAGUCGAACUCCGGCAAUUAGUGCCUCAUACUCUGCCUCAUUAUUAGAAGCAUUAAACAAUAAACGGAAUGAUUGUUCAAGAAUUUCCGACGUUGGGGAUUCCAACUUGAUUCCUACCCCAGACCCUUGUUUGAUGAAGAUCCGUCUACAUACAGUUUCCAAGUCUGAUUCUCUGGUUGCUCCGGUGUCCUCAGCACUAGUAGUUCGGUUAGGAAAUCUGCCAAAACCUGAGCCUUCAUGCUGACCCGGCUUUUAUAUUCUAUAUCAUAUUCACUCAGCUCCACUGCCCACUUUUCCAAUCGUCCGGACUGAUUUGGACUAUGAAGUAUUAUUCGGAGUGGCUGGUUGGUUAACACUUGGAUUGGAUGAGAUUGGAAGUAUGGACGUAGCUUCCGGGCUGAAGUUACUACUGCAUGUGCGAGUUUUUCCAUCAUUGUGUACCUUGUUUCUGGAUCUGUCAUUGACUUACUUAUGUAGUAAAUCGGCUUUUGCUCUCCGCGGUCCUCUCGGACCAAGACUCAACUAACUGCAUGUUUUGACACUGAAACAUACAAAUAGAGCUUCUCGUCCACUUCGGGUUUAGACAACACUGGUGGAGUGGUGAGGUAUGCUUUAAGUUGUCCGAAAGCUUCUUCACACUUCUCAUCCCAAAGGAACCCUUUGUUUCCCUUAAGAAUUUGAUAAAAAGGUAAAGAUUUGUCCGUUGAUCUUGAAAUAAAUCGGUUUAGGGCUGCAAUUCGACCAGUCAAACGCUGUACUUCCUUGAAGUUCUUCGGAGAUGGCAUGUUUAGAAAGGCAUUGAUUUGGUUUAGAUUAGCUUCAACUCCUCUUUUUGUCACAAUAUAACAAAGGAAUUCUCCGGAUGGAACUCCGAAAGUGCACUUCGCCGGGUUCAGCUUCAUUUGAUAUUGGUUGAGAAUUUCGAAACACUCCUCCAAAUGCUUAAUGUGAUCCUCUUUUUUCAAAGACUUAACCAACAUAUCAUCUAUGUAGACUUCCAUUGUUUUCCGAGAUGCUCAUGGAACAUUUUGUUGACCAACCGUUAAUAAGUUGCACCUGUGUUUUUUAAAGCAAAAGGCACUACUUUAUAACAAUAAGUACCUCUGUCCGUGAUAAAUGACGUCUUUUCUUGGUUUUCAGGAUCCAUCAUUAUUUGAUUAUAACCCGAGAAGGCGUCCAUGAAGGUUAAUAAUUCAUUCCCAGCGGUAGAUUCCACGAGCCGGUCUAUAUGCGGGAGCGGGAAACUAUCUUUUGGACAUGCUUUAUUGAGAUCGGUGAAGUCGAUACACACCCUGUCUUUUCCAUUUUUCUUUUUGACCACGACAGUGUUUGCUACCCACUCCGGGUACUGUACUUCCCUUAUAGAUCCUAUUUUUAAUAGUUUGUCCACUUCAUCAUUUACUGCCUUUGCUCGCUCUACUGCGAGUUUUCUUCUUUUUUGUUUUACAGGCUUGAAACUUGGAUCCACGUUCAGUUUGUGGCAAAUUAUGCCUGGAUCUAUGCCGGGCAUAUCCGCCGCUGACCAUGCAAAUGACGUUUUGUUUUUCCUUAGAAGUUUGAUCAAAGCUUCUUUUAUUUCGCCAGUCAAAGUAGCUCCAAUUCGGACUUUCCGAUCUGGUUUGUCUCCUUCUAAUACUACUUCGAUUACUACAUCAUCCUCUUUCUGCCCACUAGGAAAUCUUGGAAUUAUUCCCUUCUUCGCAGGUUUCGUUAAUUGCUAUUGGAUCUUCAGUCGAUGACUGGUCAGAUAACACGUUCGUGAAGCUUCUUGACUUCCUCGAAUUGUUUCCACUCCACUAGGAGUUGGAAAUUUGAUGCAUUGAUGAUAUGUCGAGGGGACUGCCUUCAUUUGAUAAAUCCAUGGAGUCCCAAGGAUGAUGUUGUAGGUUGCCGGUUUAUCAAAAACAACAAAAUCUACUAUUUUGACAUAUUUUUGGCAAGAACUGGCAGCUUGAUCGUCCCGAGAGACAUGGCCGACUCACUUGUGAAUGCCACUAAAGGAGACGGAGGUCCCACUAUGUCUGCCCGACUGAUUCCCAUCCUUUCCAAAGUACCUAAAAAGAUUAAAUCGAUCGAACUGCCCGUAUCAAUGAGAAUUCUCGAUACUUCAAAGUUGGCAACGUCUAGGGUAAUGACUAGGGCGUUAUCAUGAGGUCUUUCGAGGUGAUGUGUUUCUUCUUCGUCAAAUGAUAUUGACGCGCCAUGGAAGUCAAUUUCUUCGCCCAAAUUCGCUUUAAGUAAAACAUUUCGCCUAUGCUUUUUUAUGGCACUGAUCGUAUCUCGGCAAAGUUUGGAACCUCCAAGGAUCACAUUGAUUUUUCCCUUCGAACUUCUAGGUUCUUCUUCGUUGGAUUGCCUAGGUCUUUUUAAAUUCUGAUCUUUGGGGGUAUCCUUCGCUUCGUGAUAUUCCUUCACGAAAUCUUCUAUCUUGAAUUUAGAAAGAUCUCCACUGGCCCACAGCUCUGCGAGGUGUUUUUUGAGGACACUACAGUCUUUGGUUAAGUGUCCGGUUACCUUAUGGAUGUCACAAUACAAACUUUCGUCAUGGAUCCAAGUGUUGACCUUCCUUUUCCUUGAAAUUGCUUCCCGACGGUAUUGUUAAGGGGUUGCGAUCCGAACUUUUUUGGUCCUUGGUUCUCCCUAGGCUCAAACUUUUUGAUAGGGAAGGUGACCGCUGGUUUUGCUUGUUUGUUCCUUUUUGCAAAACUUUCUUUUUCGUCUUCUACUUCCAUCCAGUUAUUUGCACGGAAAAGUGCGUCUUGAAUCGUGUCUGGUUUGUGAAGUAUUAGAUCCUCUUUGAACCUUGAGUCAUGCCACAAACCUUUUCAUAGGGCAGAUAAAGCUGACUGCUGCGAGAUUCUUGGGAGUUUUGACAGCACCCCCUUGAAUUUGGUGAUGAAAGUUCUAAGUGACUCAUUUGGCCCUUGUGUUAGAUUCCAAAGGUCAGCAUCCGAAACGCUUUUAUCCAUGAGGAUAGAAUAUUGUUUCAGGAACACAGCCGAUAACUCGUCGAAGUUAUUGAUUGAGCCUGGUUCCAGCUGGGUGAACCACAUUAGUGCUUGACCGCAAAGAUUUUCCGAGAAGAGUUUGCAAUAUCCUGCAUCCUCGUCAGCUUCAUCCAAUUCGACUCUUCCAGCAGCAAUCAGAAAAGCUGCGAGAUAGCUCUUUGGGUCUUCUAAUCCACUGUAAGGGUCCAGUUUGAGUUUCCGAGAAUCCUUGAUUCUCAAAUUUGCAAUUCGCGGGAUGAAAGGUGUUCGCCUAGCUUCCUCGAUGACUCGGUUGAUGUCCGGCUCCGAACUGGUGGCCUGGUGGAACUUUGAUUUCAUUUCUCUUAGUUCCUGGCUAACCUUUCUCAUGGUUUCGAGCUGAUCGAAGCUUUCUUGAUCAUACUGAUCUACAAGCUGGUUUUCAUCUCCGAGCUGCGUCUCUUCUUCCACCGGUUGAAUUACUGGGUUAGGGGUUGUUUGUUCGUUGGUUUCAUUUCGCACACGUGAGUUUGGCGUACUGAACAUACUUCUUCGGACUCCCACAGUAUUUCCUGCACCUAGAGAACGAACACGAGAUUGAAUAGUAUUGACGCUUUGACCAAGAGAUACCUGGGUUGUUUUAAGCGUGUCCACAGCUUUUUCCACAUCCGAGAACUUCUGCGACAUUUCUGACAUGGUUUGCUGCAUGGCCUUGAGAGUUUCAGCUACUGACGAGUCAGGGAUGCUUGCUCUAGACAUUGCUGCUUAUCUCGGAAAUGUAGUGAGAGAAAUCUGACAACUCAAGAAUCUUCUAUUCCCCACAGGCGGCGCCAAAAUGUGGACGUUGGAUUCACACACUCGAAUAUUUGCUUAUUUAGUGGGAAAGAUUAUUCUUGAGAACAAAAAUAUGAUAUGAAAAAGCUAUGAAUUGCAAUGAAAAUGAUUAUAGUUUAUUUGCUAGAAAAAUUGCCUCUCCUUUACAUGGCUCAUGCCCCUAUUAUUUAUACUAACAAACGACAUUUAACUCUCAAUUUAAUACAAUUAUUCUCUCUUAAAUGUGUCCGUUUUGGUCUUCGAAUUUAAUGCUCAACGUUUGAAUUUGAAUUGAUUCUGAUCUUCAUGGGCUUCGCCCUUUAGCCCAAAAGCCCCGAACUGAAAUGAUCUUCAACUUCGACUGCGUAUCCUUCUCGUGGUGAGACCACUCCGAUCCCUCUUCGUGGUAUAACUACCUCGACUAAACUUUUGGGCUUAUAUGUCUAUCGGGCCUUGUCCUCUAUGGGCUUAUGUCCUGCCUAUGUGACAAUCUUUGGUUGGUCCCGAACCACCCAUGCGGGAUCCGACACCAACACAUCUUGCUUACUGGCCAGAGUUCUCUUAGGAAAUAUACUGCAACUCUACUCCUUUUUUGGAGAGCAAUAUCCCAAACUCAGCCUCUCAUGGCUGGAGAAGCAUCUGCCUGGGCAUAAAUCUACUCAAACCACAUCUUGGCAAACUCUUGGGCAAUGGAGAAGACACAUCUAUUUGGUAUGAUCCCUGGCUAUCUCUCUCCAAACCACAAUUUCCCUUUGGACCUACAACGGAAGCAACACAAAAUCUGCGGGUAUCACAUCUCCUUCACAGUGACUCUUUGAAAUGGAAUGAAGGCCUGAUUGAUGAGUUGCUACCUGAUAAUAAGUCAGAUAUCCUGAAACUACGUCCAAGCAUGCUGGGAGGGACUGAUCGAUGGGCCUGGCUUCCGACUUCUUUGGGGAUUUACUCAGCAAAAUCUGGCUACUAUGAAGCCCUGGCCAUGGAAAACUCAGAGUCUUCUUGCAGAGAGCCUCCCUCACCUCUUGAUGACUAUGAUUGGAAAGCAAAUAUUUGGAGACUUAAAAGCUCCCCCAAGAUAACACUCCUCCUCUGGAAAGCGAUGCAAAACGCCUUACCUGUAGGAGAGAACCUGAAACGCCGCAACAUCCUCAACUCUGUGCACUGCAGCCAUUGUGGAGCAGAAGAAUCGAUAGUCCACCUAUUCUUCUCCUGCUCAUUUGCUGCUCAGAUCUGGAAGAAUUUGCCCAGCAAGACCUUAUUGAAUGCUAACCACAUCUCCAAUUUUAAAGAAGGAUAUGAAGCCUCAAAGCUCCUCACGUGCCUCCCUCCAAUUGGAUUAGGCGAGGGUCUUCUAUCCCCUUGGAUCUUCUGGGCGAUCUGGAAUGCCAGGAACCAAAGAGUUUUCAAUGACCGCCACCUCCAACUUGAAGAGGUUAUCUUACAGGCAAUCCUCAAAGCAAAAGAUUGGUCCCAAGCCCAACUACCUACUGGCCAGAUCGACAAACCUGUGAAUAGCUCAGCCUGCAAACCUUUGGCGAACCAUAUCAUUAUAUGUCACACAGAUGCAGCUUGGAAACCAGAUCAAAAUGCAGGAUUUGGCUGGAUUUUUACGGAUCAUCGCAAAAUAGAACUAGGCCAUGGCUCUGGUUAUGCUGCAAACGUUGGAUCUCCUCUUUUGGCAGAGGCGAUAGCAAUCUUCCUCGCGGCUCAACAUGCCCGUAACCUGGGUUUCACCCACAUUUCUCUUGCUUCUGACUCGUCUCAACUAGUCACAUCACUCAAUUCGGAGCUCCGACCAAAGGAACUCCACGGGAUCAUCUUUGAUAUCCUCGAUCUAUCCUCUUUGUUUGAUGUUUUCUCUUUCAAUUUCAUUUCUCGCAAACUCAAUCACGCUGCUGAUUCUCUGGCAAAGGAGUCGUUGACUUCUCUUGUAUUGGGCCUCGCCCAUGUUUAAUGAGAUAUAAAAUCAGUGUUUGCACAAAAAAAAAAAAAACUAGAGAGUCUUCUCUCCAUCUAGGGUGUCCACAUCAGCAUCCAUGUCAUCAUAAUUUAUUAUUUUGUGGGCUCCACUUAUUUCAUUUAUUAAAACAAAACAAUUAAACUAAAACUAAUUCACACAUUAAAUAAAAAUAAUAAUUGACAAAAAUUAAUGAAAUAUUAUGAAAAAACGAAAAAAAUAAAUAUACAACUUAAAAUAUGAAAAUUUUGAAUAGAGAUUGAAUAAAUAUAAAUUAGAUCAUUAUAUUUUAACAUAUAAUGAGUAAAUAUUUUUAAAUAGUUAGAGAUACGAAAAAAGAAACUUAUCAUAUAUUUUAAUGGUACAAAAUUUAUUUUUUAAGAGUUACAAUUAUUUAGUAGAGUAAAGAAAAUAAGAGUUAAAAAAUACCAAAUUUAAAGGUUUUUACUUAAAAUAGAAAGCAAUUCAUUUUUUAGAAUAGACAUUUAAAAUUUGAGUACCGAUUAAAAAAUAAAAAGAAUUUAGAACAUAUUAUUAUUUAUAAUUAUAAUAUAAUAUAAGUAGUUAAAUUAAAAUAUUUUAUAUAUUAUUAAUUUUUUCUAAAUUAAAAAGUGAAUACCUAAAAAAGAAAAACUAAAUAUUAAUUAGUGUUUAGAAAAUUAACAUAGAUUGAAAAAAACUAAGGUGAUUUGCAAUAAAACAAAAAACUAUCCUAAACAUCACAAAUAAAAAUAAAAUAAUCUUAUCGAAUAUGAAAACUGUGUAAUAAUAAUAUUUGAGAAUGCUAUUUGGAAAUUAGAAUAGUAAUGGUAGAUAGAAGAGUUUUUCAUUAGAAAUAAAAAGGAUUUUGUUUUUUUUUUAAUAAAUGUAUUUUAAAAUUAGAAUAAUUUUUAUGAGUUCGUAAGUGUCACAUUUUAGAAAAAUCAACAUUAAGAAUACUUUCUAGAAUCAUAAUAUACAUUAAAUUAUAUAUGUAGAAAGAGAUUUUUGUAUUUUUCAAAUGGUCAAGAUAAAGUACAAAAUUUCACGUUGAAAUCCUAUGUUUAUGAAUAUUAAUGAGUAUAUAUAUGAGAUCUAUUUUCUAUAAAGCAAUUUUAGAUGCACCAAAACAUGGUAAAAAAAAAGCUUUAUGAUAAACAUUUCCUCAUAUUUCUGUUUUGAUGUUCACUUAAAUAAAAAGAUCAUGAAACUUAAAAAAAAAAAUUGAGUAUUGAAUGAUAGGAAGGAGAAAAUAGAAAUGAUCUAAGGAGAAAAGAGAGUAGAUGUUGAGAGACGACGAGUGAAUCAUAGAAGAUAACGAGAAAUAUUGUAGUGAAAAAUGUGAGAAACUUUUUACUACUUUGGAAAGAUAAUUCAUAUGGGUAAAGUAAAAUCUUUUAAAAUUCAAUUGAUUAUAUUUAUACUCAAAGUAUAAAAGUUUAAAAUUAAAUCCCGCGUGUUGCGCGGGUACACCAUCUAGUUGAUAUAAUCGAUGACAUGAAAUGGAGGUAAAGUCUUAAAAAGAUUAAGAUAGUUCAACUGAGUUUGAAAUGGUCUUGACGUACGACUAUUUUUUCUUUCAUCUCUAUUUAUGUCUUUUAUUAAUUUUAAAAUUAUUUAUUAAAAGAAAACUUGCGGAGAAAUAAAUACUCUUGGCAACAAGUUUUCUUUCGUCAUGAUUACUAAAUUAGGUCCCAAAAUGAACUAAUUUAGGGCACUAAUGAAACCCAAAUUAACUUCACUACUCAAUUCUAAAGAUACCUACCUACAUAUAGAAAACAAUGUAACAGACUCGUGAGUGGUGACUAAUACAUCUAAAGUUUAGUUUAUUAUAUUUAUUUAUGAGAAAUAUAUGUUGAGUAUAUUCGCAUUUGAUAUUACUUUUGUAGUUAUCGGUUUCAAAAACUGGUGGCCCGACGGUGGUUCUGGAUCUCUUCAAGGGGAGAAACCUCCUAUUAAACAUUGAUUGAAUUAAUGUCUCAAUCAGUUUGGAUGGGAAAGUGGUCGAAUUUCCAUUUCUUAGAAAUAAGUUCUUUACAAGAACAUGAUUUUCUGUUUUCUUUCAGUUGUCAUUGUUGUUCGGUAAAUCCGAAUUAUGUAGGUACGGUCUCUUUUUAUUUCUCUUUGCAAGAUGUAACUUACAGAUUCUGUAUGUGUUUCAUAUAAUCUGGGAGCUCAAAGUAAUAAAGGAAAGUUAUUUUUUCCAUCGGUUUAUGUCACAUGUUCUGUUCUUAAAAUUUUUGGUUUACUUAUGGUUUUAUUAUUUAUCAAACCAAAGGAAUCUCAGCAGUUAUAUGUUUGGUUUUGUUAUGAAAUUUCUGUUAAAUAACGAAGGAGUUAGGUCCACUUUAAAUAUUACAUGGCAUAUGAUUGUUACAUAUAAGUUAAAUUCGGUUUGGUUUAAUGAGGUAAUAUACGAGGAGAAAUUUUCAAAUGGCUUACGUAAGGCUCUUGUAUUUAAAGCUGUGUUGGGUCAAAUGAAGGGUCAACACACCCUAUUGAAGAACGAAGAUAAUAUAUGAAGAUAUUAAGUUUGAAUUGUCAAGGUUUAGGGAAUAAGGCAACAAUUGGUUAUUUACGGGAUGUGUGGAAACAACAUCGGCCAGAUUUUUUGUUUCUUUCGGAAACAAAACAAUCCUCUUUAUUUAUGAAAAAAUUUGUUGGUCAUUUUGGUUAUAAGAAUUUAAAAACAGUUGAUCCUAUCGGUUGUAGUGGUGGUUUAGCUCUUUAUUACAAUAAUGAUUUUAAUGUUUCAAUUAUUUAUGAAAGCAAUAGUUUAAUUGAUAUUGAGGCUAUUUAUAAAGGAAAAACAAUUUAUCUCACAUUUGUUUACGGAGAUCCGGUACCAAAAAACAGAGACCAAGUUUGGGAACGGUUAACGCGGAUUGGGAUAUCUCAAAAUUCUCCUUGGUUUUUGAUCGGAGAUUUUAAUGAAUUGACGGGAAAUCAUGAAAAAAGAGGUGGUAAAUUGAGACAUGCUUCUUCUUUUAUCCCUUUUAAUUCAAUGAUAAAUGAUUGCGGCCCCAUGGAAUUUCCAUAUCUUGGAGAUUGGUUAUCUUGGAGGGGAUGGCGGAAUAAAAAGCCUAUUCGGUGCCGGUUGGAUAGAGCGUUAGCAAAUGAGGAUUGGCAUGAAUUAUUCUGCAAUUCUUAUGUAGAAUAUUUACAAAUGGUAGCUUCAGAUCAUUCCCCGGUAGUAGCUACAAUUGCUGAUAAGAUACCACGUGGUAAGCGCUGUUUUAGAUUUGAUAAAAGAUGGAUCGGAAAAGAGGGAUUACUAGAGGCAAUUUCAAGCGGGUGGAAUCUCGAUUCUAGUGCUGAAGAUGGAAAUUUUGUGGAAAAAUUGACUAACUGUCGAAGGGCUAUUUCACAAUGGCGGAAAGAUUUAUCUCCAUAUGGACGAAAAACAAUAGAGGACUUGAAAUCGGAAUUUAAUGCAGCUCAGCGGGAUGAUACGAGAACACGAGAGGAAAUUACGGAAUUAACAUUGUAGCUGAAAGAGGCUUAUAGAGAUGAGGAGCUAUAUUGGUAUCAAAAACGUAGGGGCCUUUGGAUGCAAUUAGGGGAUAAUAAUUCGAAAUAUUUUCAUGCUCUUACAAAACAGAGACGUGCAAGGAAUCAGAUUACUGGUCUACAUGAUGAAAAUGGGAUAUGGUCUGCAGAGGAUAAAGAUAUUCAAAACAUAGCGGUUUCCUAUUUUAAGGAUUUAUUCACUACAAUGUUGAACCCGAACCCCCCAGGGUUGGUAACAUCAUGUAAAAGAUGGGACAAAGUUCUCAUAAGACAAGUACAAAGAUGGGUUGAAUAGAUCGUAUAAAUUUGUGGAGAAAAUAAUAUAUAUUUUGUUAUAGCUGGACUCGAGAGACGAGCUACCUACGUACCCGAAGCGGGAUCAAGCCGUAGUUCGAUUACAAUAAAGAGAAUGUAUUUAGUCAUUAUUACGAAUGACAUUGUUUGUGUCUAGAUAAUGGUGAGAAAUGUAGAAGAUGAAUCUUGUGUAGAAGAAUAUCCGUCCCUUUCUUGGAGUCUUCACUUCUCUUUUAUAGCCUCUUCCUUCCUUCUAGGAUAUCUUUACUUGGCCAUUAAAUUCAGAAUUAACUCCAAAAAAUAACUCCAAUUUUUGGUAAUUAACUCCUAAUCUUGAAUGACAAACUGUAUUCCUUUGACAAUGGCAAUUAAUUCAUGAAUUUAAUCACAAAUUAAUGUCAAGGUUUGACCACCCCCUUUCGCAAGAUAGGGCUCCUUGGAUUUUGUAAAGUGAUGGUUCUCCAACAUGUAAAAUGGACCCCUUGCGGGAUCCGGUACCAACAUACAACUAAUCCUCAAGCCUUUGAGGAGUCUCUAGCAGAGGUUCAGACAAUGAUAACGGAUCCGAUUAAUGAUUUUUUAACGGCUCCCGCGACGGAAUGUGAGGUCCGAGCGGCUUUAUUUAUGAUGCAUCCGGAUAAGGCACCCGGACCAGACGGGAUGACAGCUUUGUUUUUCCAGAAAGCCUGGAUUACCAUUAAAUCGGAUUUGUUAACUCUCGUUAAUUCUUUUUUACAAGGAGUUUUUGACAAGCGGUUAAAUACGACUAAUAUAUGUCUUAUUCCAAAAACGGAGCGACCGACUCGGAUGACAGAAUUACGGCCUAUUAGUCUCUGCAAUAUUGGUUACAAAGUUAUAUCAAAGAUCCUAUGUCAAAGACUUAAGAAGAUCUUACCAAAUCUUAUUUCGGAAACCCAAUCUGCUUUUGUAGAAGGGCGACUAAUUUCGGUUAAUAUACUAAUAGCACAAGAGAUGUUUCAUGGUCUGAGAACUAACCAGUCAUGCAAAGGAAAAUUUAUGGCUAUUAAGACGGAUAUGAGCAAAGCUUACGAUCGGGUUGAAUGGAGUUUCAUAGAAGAAUUAUUAAGGAAGAUGGGUUUUUGCGAAAAAUGGAUUUCGUGGAUGAUGUGGUGUAUCACAACAGUCCAAUAUAGGGUCUUACUUAAUGGACAACCAAAAGGGCUAAUAAUUCCAGAGAGGGGACUUAGACAAGGAGAUCCUUUAUCUCCUUACUUAUUCAUUCUCUGUACGGAGGUACUCAUUGCGAAUAUUAAGAAAGCGGAACGUGAAAACUUGAUUACAGGUAUCAAGGUAUCCACAGCUAGCCCGUUGGUAUCUCAUCUCUUAUUUGCUGAUGAUAGUUUGUUCUUUUGCAAAGCCAACAAAGAACAAUGCAGGGUAAUUUUGGGAAUUCUAAAACAAUAUGAAGCGGUUUCAGGGAAACAAAUUAAUUUUUCAAAAUCAUCUCUUCAGUUUGGCUACAAAGUUGAUGAGUCUAUUAAGGAAGAAAUAAAAGCGGCUCUGGGUAUCCACAAUCUUGGUGGCAUGGGAUCUUAUCUUGGUCUACCGGAAAGCCUUGGUGGAUCUAAGAUAAAGAUUUUCUCCUUUGUUCGAGAUAGACUUCAGGUUAGGAUAAAUGGUUGGUCGGCUAAGUUUUUAUCGAAAGGCAGAAAAGAAGUUAUGAUUAAAUCGGUAGCUGCGGCAUUACCAACAUAUGUUAUGUCAUGCUUCAGACUACCAAAAUCAAUAACUUCUAAACUUACGAGUGCGGUCGCAAAAUUUUGGUGGAGCUCAAACGGUGAAUCGAGGGGAAUCCAUUGGAUGGCUUGGGAUAAACUUUGUAGUAGUAAAUCGGAAGGUGGGGUAGGAUUUCGGAACGUGGAUGAUUUUAAUUCAGCGUCAUUGGCUAAACAAUUAUGGCGUUUGAUUAUGGCUCCUGAGUCACUAUUUGCAAGGGUAUUUAAAGGACGAUAUUUCCGGAAAUCCAAUCCAUUGGAUAAUAUAAAAUCGUACUCUCCUUCUUAUGGUUGGAGAAGUAUAAUGUCAGCUAGAUCUCUGGUUCUUAAAGGACUUAUUAAAAGAGUUGGUUCUGGGGCGUCCAUCUCAGUAUGGGAGGACUCAUGGAUACCAGCUCAAUUCCCGAGACUAGCAAAAAGUAAUAGUUCAAUUACUGACCCAUCUUUAAAAGUUAAUCAACUUAUCGACAGCCGGUCAAACUUUUGGAAUAUGAAUCUCUUGGCGGAGCUUUUUGAUCCAGAGGAUGUCGCGCUGAUUAGUGCUUUGCCUUUGGGUGUCUCAACUAAGGAGGAUACCCUUGGUUGGUAUUUCACAAAAUCAGGAAAUUAUACGGUUAAAUCGGGUUACCAUACCGCACGGACAGAGACUUCUGAUGCCACCCUUAAAUUUUUUGGCCCGGAUAUCAAAUCUCUGAAAGCUUAUGCAUGGAAGGUGAAGUGUCCACCAAAGCUACGACAUUUUUUGUGGCAAAUAUUAUCAGGUUGUGUACCUGUUACGGAGAAUCUGAGAAAGAGAGGUAUAAAUUGUGACACCGGAUGUGUUAGAUGUGGCGCUGUGGAGGAAACAAUUAAUCACACACUUUUUGAAUGUCAUCCUGCAAGACAAAUCUGGGCUCUUUCUCCAAUCCCUUCGGUUACAGGGAUUUUUCCCUCGGCUUCUAUUUACGCGAACUUGGAUCAUCUUUUCUGGAGAAUUCCAUCAGAGAUUGAUUCGUCUUUAUUUCCAUGGAUAAUUUGGUAUAUUUGGAAAGCGAGAAACGAGAAAAUUUUUGAUAAUGUGGAUAAAGACCCAUUAGAGGUUCUACAUUUAGCGGAGAAAGAGGCACAAACUUGGCAGGUUGCUCAAUCUGAGCUACAUAUUGACAACCAAGGUUCUUCAGAUACUGUAUCUCGAAAUCGCGUGAGAGAGAUUUCAUUGGAUUCCAGUUACUCCGGACAUCGGUGCUUCAUGGAUGGAUCAUGGAAAAGGACUGAUAUUUUUUCGGGAACAGAGUGGUACUGUACAUCGGCAAAUGGAGAGAUGCCAACCAUGGGAGCUGCAAACAUCCGGCGAAGUCUAUCCCCCCUACAUACAUAUGUCGAAGCUCUACUCUGGGCGAUGAAGUGUAUGAUUGGUGCUGACAACCAAGAUGUAGCUUUCUUUACAGACUGUUCAGAUUUGGUGAAGAUGGUGUCUUCUCCAACCGAAUGGCCGGCCUUCUCAGUGUAUUUGGAAGACUUGAAGAGUGACAAGGAAGAAUUCUCUAAUUUUUCUUUAUCUUUAAUUCCGCGUAGCGCAAAUGUAAAAGCGGAUAAUUUGGCACGAAUAAUUCGUACCGAACCGCAUCAUAUCACUUAUGUAAACAACAUUACUCAGAAAUGGCUCUUUUGAGAAUCUAUUUUAUUUAAGCUGUUGACAAAAAAAAAAAAUUUCAUUUAAGUUUAAAUCAAGUUUGGAUAAACAAAUGAAUCAACCAGAAAAGAUGUUAGGAUAUUACAUAUACACAGAAAAUGUUUAGACUUUUAACACACAAAAUGUUAAUGAAAUCAAUUGGUCCAAAUGAAAUCAUUAUACGGAAGGAGACCAUUAGCAAAUAUCUUUGUGUUGUAUAAGAUGGAAUUGGGGAAGAUAAUAGUAUUGGGAAAAUAAUUGUUUUAGCAUGUCAUAUGUUGAUCGGAAAUAAAAAUAAAGUCUUGAUAACAACAGAGGGGGCAAAUUAAGUAAGUAACACUCAUACGAUAUUAUUAAUAUUCUCCAUGUUCCUAGAAGAUUGAUUUUCUAAAAAAUUUACAUAUAUAUACAAUUAUUGUUUAAUUAUUUAAUAAUUAGUUAUUUAAUAAAAUAUUUUUAUAUAAAAUAUGAAAAUAGUAAUCUUAAAUAGCUAAUUAUUUUUAAUCAUUACAUCUUGAAAUCUACUAUUUAUUAAUAUCAAUUAAUAAAAAAAGAACCUAAAAAAUCAAUUUUUGUAGAACAUACAUAAAGCACUAGAACAUCAAUCUUCUAGGAAGAGAGAGAGUAUACAACAACACUAUUAAGGUGUUAAAUUUUGCUGAUCAGUAAUAAAAUCAAAAUGACAAGAAAUUCAAAAAUUUUACGAAUUAUAUCUCUAUAGAUUUGAAUACAAUGUGAUUAUUUUCAAUCUGUUUCUCUGCUUACAUUACAUAGGUCAUGUUUGUUUCGUAAUUGCAGGACGAUUGCGACUGCGACUACGACGAUUUUGAAUCGCAUGAUGUUGUUCGUUUAGCAAUCGCGCGACUAUUCGCUAUUUAAAAAGUCGCAUCGCUAAUUUUUGAUAUAUGAAUUAUUAGUAUACAUAACAUGUUUUGUUUUAUUUUAGAAGUUAGACACACUUUAUGUAUGCAUAAUAGGCAUUAGUAACACAUUUUAUGUAGUAAACGACCAGUGGCUGAAUAAUAUGAGCAGUAUAUUCUAGAACAUUGGUGUAAAAAGAAAAUUCAUUAAUAAAAUAGAGUGGCUUUAGUAUAGGGGUGUCAAAAUGAGUUAAUACCCAUGGGUUACCCGAACCCGCCCAUGAUUUUAGUGGGUUUGGGUAGAAUUUUUUUACCCAUAUAUAUAUAUAUAUAUAUAUAUAUAUAUAUAUGGGUUUCAGUGGGUUACCCUAUUAGGGUUAUGGGUUUAAUGGGUAAAACCCAUUAGGGUCAUGGGUUACCCAUGGGUUUCAUAACCAAAACUAAAAAGUAAAAUUUAUAUAUAUCUAUAUUAAUAUAUUAUGUAAAAUUUAUAUAAAUAUAUAUAAAAUAUCUUCUUUUCUUUACAACUAUCUUUUUUAUUUGGUUUUAUGGUUCUUUGGAUUUGUGGUUUUAAGAUUUUAGGAUGUUUUUCUACUUUAAUAUCUAGAUUUUUUAAUUUAUUAUUUAAAAACUUUUGUUGGUUUACAAUUUUAUGUUAUUUUUUUGGAUUUUUAUUAUUUAUAUAUUUUAUUAUACAUAUAUAUGGGUACCCAUAUAACCCAUUAAGCCAAUGGAUUUUUACAAUAAUGGGUUUGGGUAUAUAAAUUUAACCCAUAUAAAUAUAUGGGUCGGGCCAAACCCGUCCAUUAAACACUCGAACCCAUGUUGGUUUGGGUCGGGUCGGGUCGGGUUACCCAUUUUGACACCCUUACUUUAGUAUGCAUAUCAAUUAUUCUAUAUAAUACCAAAUAGAGUAAGAUUAGUUCAAAACCGCCAUUGAAAUUGGUGUUUAAUCGAUGGGCUGAAUUGAAAUUGGGGUAAAAGUUAUUCAUUUUUUUUUCUCACAAUUCUCAGAAAAACGAACCUUCAUGACUCUUUCCUAAAGACACCUCUAAAUAGAAAGAACGUAACCUCUAAACUCUAAAGUGAGAUUAUUGCCUUAAUUAACCAUAGACUUAAGAGAGAAGUUGUAAGUUUGUGUUAGUGGAGUAGAUGGAGAGUUAAGUACGCAACUCAACAUUUUCACUUUCUUUCAGCUAUAAAUAUGUUUAGAAGAGGUAUUACAUUCCACCACAUAGAAAAACUCUUUCACAAUAUUGCAGUUUAUUAUUUUAUCAUCCUUUUUUAUUUGUUUGAAAUCUUUGUGGCAAAAAUGGCAAAUGUUGGAAACACUAACCUGCAUGAUCGUUUUAGAACACUAGUUGGUGACCUGAACUUGGCACAAAAUCAGUUUCAGUUCAAAUGCGCGGAGUUAGUGAGAAAUUAUGAAGAGUCUCAACCGAAGAAGGUGCUGGAGGAAA